UCUCUUCGCCUUCCUCCCGUCUCUCCGCUCCGCUCCGCACCUCCCGGCCGCGCUCCUCUCCCCUUCUCCCCGCCGCGCUCCGGUCGCCUCCGCUGCCGCGCUUCCCUCGCGCCGCCACGCGCUAUACAAGGAGGAAACUUUCGCCGGCGAGGCUGGAUCCGAUGGCUGCGAGGCCGGAUUCGGUUGGCGUCGUCACAGUGCUCGAAGGGGAGGAGGGGGAGCAGGGGCCGGCGCCGCCGCAGCCCGAGGAGCAGGACCAGAACCCCAAUCCGGUGGCGGCGGCGCUACGCCGAUCUUCUCCUCCGUCGUCAUCUUCUCUGGAUCCGAACUAACUGUCGAGGAGCUUCUGGAUAGGCUGCUUAAACGGCUAUUGUACAUUCAAGACUGAGGAGAGGAGCAGCGGCUCAAGGGGAGGAGGUGCAACGCCUCAAGGCGGUGGCGAUGAUGAGGAGUAGCGCCUGAAGGAGCACUGAUUCUGAUUGGGAGUAGUACAAUAUUUAUAUCUGCAAUUCAUAUCAAGAUAAGUACUCUUACUGUACUCUAUCUUUUCCUUGUACAUCUUUUAAUUAACACUAUGCCGCUAUGCAUGUUGUAAACCUCACUUUUUGAUUGCUGAAUAUAUAUGCAUGUUGUAAACCUCACUUUUUGAUUGCUGAAUAUAUAUGCAUGUUGUAGACCUCAAUCUCAAUCUCUCUUCUCUCUAUAUGCAUGCUGAAUAUAUAUGCAUCCUCUCCUCUCAAUCUCUCUUCUCUCCUCUCAAUCUCAUCUCUCCUCUCCUCUCUCAUCUCAAUCCCUUAAUCUCUUCUUAAUCUCUCUUCUCUCAAUCUCAAUAUAUUCCCUUGUCUCCUCUCAAUCUUUUGAACCUAAGUUUAAACUUAUUUAAAUCCGAACCUAAGUUUGAACUUAUGUAAAUCAAAAUCUAAACCUGAAUCUGACUGAACUUAAAACUGUAUCUUGACAUCUCAAUCUUUCUUCUCUCCUCUCAAUCUCUCUAUCUCUCUCUUCUAUCUCUCUCUAUUUCUUAAACCUGAACUUUAAAAUCUAACCUGAACUUUAAAAUCUGAAUCUAACCUGAACUUAAACUUUAAAAGCUGAAUCUAACCUGAACAUAAACUUUAAAAAUCUGAAUCUAACCUGAACUUAAACUUUAAAAGCUGAAUCUAAAACUUUAAAAGUGAACUUUAAUUAACUGAAGCUUAACUGAACUUUAGUUAACUGAAUUUAACACUGGCGCAACAGCUUCUCAUCUCAUCUCUUCAACUCUCAACAAUGACAACUAUAACAGCAAUGAAAAAUACAACAGCAAUAACAAUAUGUUCUCUUCUCAUCUCAUCUGUUCUACUCUCAACAAUGACAACUAUAACAGCAAUGAAAAAUACAACAGCAAUAACAAUAUGUUCUCUUCUCAUCUCAUCUGUUCUACUCCUAAUGCAACAGUUCUUCUCAUCUCUUCUCAUCAAUGGUUCAGCAAUGCUAAACUUUUAUGGUAGAGGUCAGCAUCACAGUCUAGAGAAGUAUCUAACGUCCCUUCCCUCUGCAUUCUAUUCUUGUUCAUGUGCUGGAUCUUAUAUCCAUUGCCACCUUCUUUCAUAACCUCCAGCAUACAUGAUUGGAGUGUUAUGAAAACUCUGGCCAACUUGUCCACUUCGUAUCCAGGCCUUGCAACUGCCGUUAGAAACAUAACUUUCCUGAUGCUGUUCUUGUUCUGAACAGUGCGCAAGGGGCAUGAUUCUAUAGGAUCGAGAUAAUAGGUGGCUUUCUUCUUCGUCAUAUCAAACCAUUUUUCAUCAAUAUGGACAAUGUUGGUCAUGUCUUUAAAAGUAGGCCUUGCAUUUCCAAGUGUGUCCUCAUCCAACAUUGAGACACAGAAUUUCAAUCUCGCAAUCUUGUUUGCUGGCUUAAGUGUGGGCUUUAAGCUGCUAGUGCGGCGCAUUAUCAAUCCCCAUUUGAACCUUCUGUACAAUGCUGAACAGCUAACAUCCAAAGCCCUAGCUAGCGCCCUUACUGUUCUUCUUCUGUUUAGUGGUAUUGUAGCAACUAGAUGAUGCCCCGCACGUUGUUGCAAAAUUUUUUAGUUAAUAUACGUGCAUGAACGAAAUUGAGUACAGCAACGAAAGAGUAUCCAAAACUCAAAACAUAGAAUGAAAUUGUGUGAUAAAUUCUUCACAUAGUGAGGAUAUCAUGAUAGAAAAUAUCAUGCAUGCAUGUGCAACAAAUAUGAGUUUCUCACUAAAUAGGUGUGAACAUAUUAAUGAUAUGAUGAUGUGGCAUGCUUGUAUGUUGAGAGAAAUCAAGUAGUGGGUUUCUCCUACUUAGAUAUAGAAGAUUCUAGAGAGACCAAGGUCAGCUCUUUUACGACCUACUUUACCCUUUUUUUGGUUAGAAAGAUCGACAGGUAAACCUUGUGCAAUAUGCUCAUGUGCUAAUUUCCAUAUUCUCUCAACUGUUCUAACAGAUGUAUCCAAAAGACGAGCAACAUGCUCCUUGUCCUUUAAGAGUAUUUCUCCAUCUAUGCUGAGUGCCUUCAAUGCAAUAUAAGCACCAAAUAUGUGUUCAUCAGGCAGUUCCCUUCGUUGUCGUUGUUGAGCACCUGCAAAGGACCAGAAGAUAAGUUCUUCAUAUAAUGCCUCUAUUUGCCGUACAAUACUCCAUUUCAGAAAAAAACAUGCAUGUGCUAAUUUGAUGUCUAUACAUGGAGAACUUGAUGUAGUUACAUGAUGUGUGUAGAUGGAGAACAAAUCUGAACAAUAACAUGCACAUGCUCUAUUCUGAACAAUAAUCAUCACAUGCUGUAGUUAAAUUAUGAAAUUGUGUGUGCAUGUUCUAUUCUGAACAAAAAUCUAUAGGAACAAUAGUUUGAUGAACAAGAACACAAAUCUAUAGGAACAACACAGUAAUUUGCUUUGUUCUGUACAGUAUUUGAUCUUGUUCUGUUUCAGGAGUUACCUGCUGCUUCAACAUCAACAUCUUCAUGAGGAGUGCAGUUCAGAUCUGGUAUGGGCAUGUUUCCUUCUGCAGUUGUAUCUUGUUGAGAUGAGGAAUGGUGACCGGCACAGCAAAGGCAGAGACAGAGCUAAAUCCUUCCAUGAUGUUUCUGCUUGUUGCUGAAAUUGGCCUGAGAUGAGGAAUGGUGACCGGCGCAGCAAAGGCAGAGGCAGAGCUAAAUCCUUCCAUGAUGUUUCUGCUGUUGCUGAAAUUGGCCUGAGAUGAGGAAUGGUGACCGGUGCAGCAAAGGCAGAGGCAGAGCUCUGCCUGAGAUGGGGGAAGGUGGCGGAGCCCGCAAAGGCAGAGGCAGAGCUCUGCCUCAGAUGCGAGAAGGCAGAGGUGAUUUUCCCUGGGCGACGGCAGGCGAGAGGCGACGGCAUCGGGCGGCGGGCGAUGGCAUCACGCUCCUGCCGGCUGAUCUCGAUGUUCCUCCUUUGAUCUGAUUGAUUGAUCUGUUAGAAGGGGCUGGAGAUGGCUAGCGGCAGGGCUGGACUGGAGAUACCUGGAGAGGGCUGGAGAUGGCGACUUGGAGAGGGGAAAGGAGCAGGCGAUCUGGACUGGCGGAGGCGACCUGGGCUUGCGAAGGAGACAAGUUUUGAAUUUGAAUCCCGUAGUCUACCUUUCUGGACUGUAAUUAGUUUAAUUCCCAGGACGUUUUUGUAAAAUGACAUAUGUGAAGUGCCUGCGACAUCUAUUUCGGUACGAACAUCGGUGUGCUGCAUGCCUGAUUCAGUAAUCAUCGAUGACGCACUUUCCAAUGACUUCUGCAGAAGUCAAGGGCCGUGCUCAUUUUUUUUAAUAAUGUUAUUUGUUAUUAUACAGAUUAUACA
Long non-coding RNA from Brachypodium distachyon (stiff brome), 3815 nucleotides. RefSeq lists it as uncharacterized. The record is from RefSeq and is a predicted model, not a curated record. NCBI's taxonomy places the organism in Eukaryota, Viridiplantae, Streptophyta, Magnoliopsida, Poales, Poaceae. The transcript has 6 exons.